AACGAACGCUGGCGGCGCGCCUAACACAUGCAAGUCGAACGCGAAAGUGUAGCAAUACAUGAGUAAAGUGGCGCACGGGUGAGUAACACGUAGGUGAUCUACCUUUGUGAUCGGGAUAACCAGUCGAAAGAUUGGCUAAUACCGGAUAGAGCGCAUGACUCGUAAAGGGUUGUGCGGGAAAAGGAGGCGUAGCAAUACGCUUUUGCACUGAGAUGAGCCUGCGUCUCAUUAGCUAGUUGGUAGGGUAAUGGCCUACCAAGGCAUUGAUGGGUAGCUGGUCUGAGAGGACGAUCAGCCACACUGGAACUGAACACGGUCCAGACUCCUACGGGAGGCAGCAGUGGGAAUCUUGCGCAAUGGACGAAAGUCUGACGCAGCGACGCCGCGUGGGUGAAGAA
This 398-nucleotide ribosomal RNA is filed under the name uncultured bacterium. Its description in RNAcentral is "bacterial SSU rRNA". It matches the Rfam family "Bacterial small subunit ribosomal RNA", at positions 29 to 412 of the family's 1533-position model. The record is from RNAcentral.